AUCUACGGCCAUGCCACCCUGAACAAGCCCAAUGUCUGAUCUCGGAAGCUAAGCAGGGUCAGGCCUGGUUAGUACUUGGAUGGGAGAUCACCUAAGAAGACCAGGUGCUGUAGGCA
Molecule: ribosomal RNA, 116 nt
Filed under: Pteropus alecto (black flying fox)
Lineage: Eukaryota; Metazoa; Chordata; Mammalia; Chiroptera; Pteropodidae
Source: RNAcentral